This 503-nucleotide long non-coding RNA is filed under the name Danio rerio (zebrafish). RNAcentral's name for it is "lncRNA si:ch211-72a16.11 (ENSDARG00000097849.2)". The record is from RNAcentral. Lineage: Eukaryota; Metazoa; Chordata; Actinopteri; Cypriniformes; Danionidae.
UGUUUUUUACAGCUUCAUUUGCUUCUGUAAUAAAUUACUGCAGAGCGGUUGAAAGCAAUAUCUCACCCAAAAUCUUCACCUUUGUCUCAAUGUAACAAAUUCCGUUUAAGCAUUGUUGACUAUGUACAGUGUUAAUGUUUAUAUUACGGGUUGAUCUUUAACGAGGUAGCCGCAUUUUGUUCUUUCUCGUGCAUCUUUUUAAAAGGAUAAAGAGUUGUUGUUAUUGUUGGUGUUGAUGAUGAUGUUGCUUUGUGUAAAGCGUGAUUAGCACUUGGCUUUAGUAAACUGCAUGUAAACGUUUUAGACAUUGUGUUGUGAAUACUUUCUUGAAUAUAGUUUUUUUUUCAAUUACACAAAUAUCAUAUCUUUGUAAAUAGUGAUUCUUAUACGAAAUUAUUAAUACAAUUUAUAUGAAUAUUUUAGUUACUUUUUAUUUGUGCUUUGUCAGAGCAAUUCAAUAAUCUAUUGUGUUUAUUUUGUUAAUAAAGCAUUUUCUGAACAAA